This 1874-nucleotide long non-coding RNA is filed under the name Triticum aestivum (bread wheat). RNAcentral describes it as "long non-coding RNA (TAES_LNC017865)". Lineage: Eukaryota; Viridiplantae; Streptophyta; Magnoliopsida; Poales; Poaceae. The record is from RNAcentral.
UUUGCGCCGGUGCCCAGCUCCCUCUCGCUCUCUCUCUCGCACGAACGAAGGUAAAAGAAAGAGGAGACACAGGACACGGUGGUGUUUUUCCGGCGCAUAUACGCCUGCCGCACGAACGGCUUCUUCCUCGAGCACGAACUCGAACCCACACCCACAUACGAGCAGUACAACGGAGGGCCUUUUAUACCCAGGUGCACACACCAUCCGGCCACCACACCGGCCACUAACUCCACGCACGCACACACGCCGGCCACUAACCAGCUAACCCAUGCACACGCAUGCACUAACUAACCUUGACUCUACCUUAUCUGGACUAACCAGAUCACAACGGAACUAGCAAACCAUGCACGCGAGUGACUCGGUCUCCAGUGAAUGUGAGCCGCUGCUCACGCGAGACCUGGGCCUCCACACCUCGCUCUGCAGCACACACAACCCGGCUAACUGACCAAGGCUAUGGACGCGGCCACGCACCGGCGUCUGUACUCGACCUACACGCACACACAUGUUGGUCACCACCGUGGCGUGGCUUAUUUCUAACAUUCUCCCCUAAGCCACGACCUCGCCGUCGCUGGAGUUGUUGCAGCUCCUCUUAUUAUUGUCGUCACGGCCGUGACACAGCCCGCGGACCCGACCCGGCGCAUCGACGACGGUCGCACCGCCACAGACCCAACCUGGCGCACUGACGCUGGUCGCACCGUGCUCCGUCACGACCCCGGCGACAUACGCCGAGCUCCUUCUCCGCCGGCGACACACGUCUGGCGUCCCUCUGCGCCCCGCACGUCCCGCGCGCACCCGACGAGCCCAACCGCACCAGACGCUCACCGCGCUCCGCCUCCGCGUCCGCCAUGGCAGCCGCCAGCGACAAACGCCGGAAGGAUGUAGCCGAACUCGAGCACAGACUCGAGCACAACGGCGACAUACGCCUCCUCCCAACGUCAACCGCACGCUCGUACGCGCGCUCGCGGUCCCGACGCGCCCGACGCGUCCAGUGCGCACCCAUAACACGCACCGGUCGCUCCCGGCUCGCCGCCACGGCUUAUUGCCCUGCACCGCUGCGGCCUCAACCGCAGCGCAGCACCUCCAUGCCUCCAUGCCGCUAUGUGUCGUUGAAGCUGCCAUCACGCAGGUCCUCCGCGGCCUCCUCACCGUGCCGCCGCAGCCACCGCGGCCUCCUCGCCGCGCCGCGCACCUCCAUAGACCGACACACGGCCCGGAGCUUCACCGCGCAGCCGCCGGCGAACGCCACCACCGCCGGCACGCCUCCGCCAAGGGGACGACACCCAAGAUGAACCAGCUCAUGAUACCAAAUGUUGGCGCCGAGCCCUAGCUUGCUCUUUGCGCCGGUGCCCAGCUCCCUCUCGCGCGCGCUCUCUCUCUCUCUCUCGCACGAACGAAGGUAAAAGAAAGAGGAGACAUGGUGUUUUUCCGGCGCACAUACGCCUGCCGCACGAACGGCUUCUUCCUCGAGCACGAACUCGAACCCACACCCACAUACGAGCAGUACAACGGAGGGCCUUUUAUACCCAGGUGCACACACCAUCCGGCCACCACACCGGCCACUAACUCCACGCACGCACACACGCCGGCCACUAACCAGCUAACCCAUGCACACGCAUGCACUAACUAACCUUGACUCUACCUUAUCUGGACUAACCAGAUCACAACGGAACUAGCAAACCAUGCACGCGAGUGACUCGGUCUCCAGUGAAUGUGAGCCGCUGCUCACGCGAGACCUGGGCCUCCACACCUCGCUCUGCAACACACACAACCCGGCUAACUGACCACGGCUAUGGACGCGGCCACGCACCGGCGUCUGUACUCGACCUAUACGCACACACAUGUUGGUCACCACCGUGGCGUGGCUUAUUCCUAAC